This 435-nucleotide long non-coding RNA is filed under the name Nicotiana tabacum (common tobacco). Its description in RNAcentral is "long non-coding RNA (NTAB_LNC006021)". The record is from RNAcentral. Lineage: Eukaryota; Viridiplantae; Streptophyta; Magnoliopsida; Solanales; Solanaceae.
GCCUAUUCACAUUGUAUCUAUCAAUGGAAAAUAAGGGUAUAAACUUACCAUUUUUUUUUUAAAUUAGGAAGAAAUAAAAAGGGGAAAGCGGAUGCAGACCUGGAUGCUCAAGAAGAACCCAACAGAUUUUGUAUGUCUUUCUGUAGAAUGAGAAGGAAGAGAAAUCACAAAGAAGCUUACCCUUUCGCCUGAGAAUCUUAUGGAGCAGCAACAUACGACUUCGAAUUUCAGAGUUAUGCAGCAAAAAUCUUGCAAUUUUGAUCUAAUUUUCAUACAAUAAUCCUAGAUUCACGCCCGAUUUUUGUAUUUAAAGAAAAAAAAAUCACAUUGUUGAAGGAGUGAAGGAGUCUGAUAGAGAGGAGAGAAAGUGAGUUGUUGCCCUAAUCGUUCGAAUAAUCCGUCUUUUGACCAAGUUAUUUUUAUUUUUUAGACGGA